UGCGUUGGCGGAUUAAUAAGUCAGUGGUGAAAACCUGCAGCUUAACUGUAGACUUGCCAUUGAUACUGUUAGUCUUGAGUACGGUCAAGGUAGGCGGAAUGUGUAAUGUAGCGGUGAAAUGCUUAGAUAUUACACAGAACACCGAUUGCGAAGGCAGCUUACUGGGCCAUUACUGACGCUGAGGCACGAAAGCGUGGGGAGCGAACAGGAUUAGAUACCCUGGUAGUCC
RNAcentral lists this ribosomal RNA (229 nucleotides) under uncultured bacterium. RNAcentral describes it as "partial 16S ribosomal RNA". It matches the Rfam family "Bacterial small subunit ribosomal RNA", at positions 568 to 796 of the family's 1533-position model. The record is from RNAcentral.